CAGCUGCUUGUCUUCUAUGGUCGAGAGUAGGCGUUUUGCCACGAUCCCCUUGCUCACUCCCUGCAUUUUCAAAGAUUUGCAGAAGAUGCAAUACAAGGUGGAAAAAUAAAUUAGCUCUUAUUCAGUUAUUUGUAGGGAUGUUUUCCAAUUCUCUCUUCAUGAGUUGAACUGAGAACACAGUCAACAGAUGUAGAAACCAUCAAUUAUGAAUGCCUUAUAAUGAAUCAUGAUGAAAAUGAAGCUAAUUGCCAAAACGGCAACUUUCAAACAAUAUAAGCACAUAAAAUGGUAAACUGGGAAACGGAGACUGUAAUAACAAGUAACAAGCUAAGUGAGUCUGAAGCAGGUGGAAGAAUGGUUAUGUGAUACAAACCUGAGGUUUAACCUCCACAAUGUUCUGUCCACUCUUGACGGUGACAGGUUCAUUGGCCAAGACGCUCUCAA
Molecule: long non-coding RNA, 444 nt
Filed under: Linum usitatissimum (flax)
Lineage: Eukaryota; Viridiplantae; Streptophyta; Magnoliopsida; Malpighiales; Linaceae
Description: long non-coding RNA (LUSI_LNC001581)
Source: RNAcentral